This 440-nucleotide ribosomal RNA is filed under the name uncultured bacterium. RNAcentral's name for it is "partial 16S ribosomal RNA". It matches the Rfam family "Bacterial small subunit ribosomal RNA", at positions 338 to 795 of the family's 1533-position model. The record is from RNAcentral.
UCUACGGGUGGCAGCAGUGGGGGAUAUUGCACAAUGGGGGAAACCCUGAUGCAGCGACACCGCGUGGGUGAAGAAGCGCCUCGGCGCGUAAAGCCCUGUCAGUAGGGAAGAAAAUGACGGUACCUGAAGAAGAAGCCCCGGCUAACUACGUGCCAGCAGCCGCGGUAAUACGUAGGGGGCAAGCGUUAGCCGGAUUGACUGGGUGUAAAGGGGGCGCAGACGGCGAUGCAAGCCAGGAGUGAAAGCCCGGGGCUCAACCCCGGGACGGCUCUUGGAACUGCGUGGCUAGAGUGCAGGAGGGGAAGGCGGAAUUCCUGGUGUAGCGGUGAAAUGCGCAGAUAUAAGGAGGAACACCGGUGGCGAAGGCGGCCUGCUGGACUGCAAUUGACGUUGAGGCCCGAAAGCGUGGGGAGCAAACAGGAUUAGAUACUCCAGUAGUC